UGCCAGACUCCUACGGGAGGCAGCAGUGAGGAAUAUUGGUCAAUGGGCGGGAGCCUGAACCAGCCAAGUCGCGUGAGGGAAGACGGUCCUAUGGAUUGUAAACCUCUUUAGGCGGGGAGCAAUGCCGGGCACGUGUGCCCGGAGGGAGAGUACCCGCAGAAUAAGCAUCGGCUAACUCCGUGCCAGCAGCCGCGGUAAUACGGAGGAUGCGAGCGUUAUCCGGAUUUAUUGGGUUUAAAGGGUGCGUAGGCGGAAUGCCAAGUCAGCGGUAAAAUCGCGGGGCUCAACCUCGCUCCGCCGUUGAAACUGGCGUUCUUGAGUGGGCGAGAAGUAUGCGGAAUGCGUGGUGUAGCGGUGAAAUGCAUAGAUAUCGCGCAGAACUCCGAUUGCGAAGGCAGCAUGCCGGCUCCACACUGACGCUGAGGCACGAAAGCGUGGGUAUCGAACAGGAUUAGAUACCCCAGUA
This 466-nucleotide ribosomal RNA is filed under the name uncultured bacterium. RNAcentral's name for it is "bacterial SSU rRNA". It matches the Rfam family "Bacterial small subunit ribosomal RNA", at positions 329 to 792 of the family's 1533-position model. The record is from RNAcentral.